Long non-coding RNA from Drosophila ananassae, 260 nucleotides. RefSeq lists it as uncharacterized. The transcript is spliced from 2 exons. Lineage: Eukaryota; Metazoa; Arthropoda; Insecta; Diptera; Drosophilidae. The record is from RefSeq and is a predicted model, not a curated record.
AAUUCGGUUUUUAAGUGAAAGGGUCUCACGCAGAGAAAACCGAUAUUGUUUGUUUAAAUUUGAUCAACAUAUUUAGUGACCGCUUGACUGAGAGUUUAAAAAAUCAAAUUCUUUUGGACAUUUUGCUUCGUUUUGUGUAAAAAUGGGUUAUACCAUAUCCUCCAAAAUAAGUGCAUACAUUUUUAAAACUUGAUGCAACUAAGAAAAUUGUAAAUGCAAUGUUUGCGGAUUAAAAUAAACUACCUCGUCACCCUCUCUGA